This 1417-nucleotide unclassified non-coding RNA is filed under the name Dothideomycetes sp. KO-groupB 2014. RNAcentral's name for it is "partial contains ITS1, 5.8S rRNA, ITS2 and LSU". The stretch from base 503 to 1417 matches the Rfam family "Eukaryotic large subunit ribosomal RNA", at positions 1 to 934 of the family's 3401-position model. The record is from RNAcentral. Lineage: Eukaryota; Fungi; Ascomycota; Dothideomycetes.
AAGUAAAAGUCGUAACAAGGUUUCCGUAGGUGAACCUGCGGAAGGAUCAUUACCGAGCCCGCGGCCCUUUGAGGCCAGCGACUCCCGUCCUUUGCUUUCAGGAGACCACGCUUCGCUUCGGCGGGGGAACCCGCCGGCGGACCUUUUAAACCGUCUUUUUCGAACCGUGCCGUCGGAGGUGGCUUUGAGAAUAGACCAAAACUUUCAACAACGGAUCUCUUGGUUCUGGCAACGAUGAAGAACGCAGCGAAAUGCGAUAAGUAAUGUGAAUUGCAGAAUUCAGUGAAUCAUCGAAUCUUUGAACGCAUAUUGCGCCCCUCGGCAUUCCGUGGGGCACACCUGUUCGAGCGCCAUUUCGACCCUCAAGCCCCGCUUGGUGUUGGCGACGGUCCGAUGGGACCCCCGCCGAAACUCGUAGGCGCCCCCGCCGGGCCUCCAGCGCAGCAAGCUAACGCGAGCGCGUGGAGCCCGCCGGGUGUUGCCCGCACGCACCUUCAAGGUUUGGCCUCGGAUCAGGUGGGGAUACCCGCUGAACUUAAGCAUAUCAAUAAGCGGAGGAAAAGAAACCAACGGGGAUUGCCUCAGUAACGGCGAGUGAAGCGGCACCAGCUCAGAUUUGAAAUCUGGCCCCAGGCCCGAGUUGUAAUCUGCAGAGGAUGCUCCGGCGAAGGCCCCGGCCCAAGUCCCCUGGAACGGGACGUCCUAGAGGGUGAGAACCCCGUCAGGCCGCGGGCCCCAGCCUUGUGUUGCUCCUUCGACGAGUCGAGUUGUUUGGGAAUGCAGCUCUAAACGGGUGGUAAAUUCCAUCUAAAGCUAAAUACCGGCCAGAGACCGAUAGCGCACAAGUAGAGUGAUCGAAAGAUGAAAAGCACUUUGAAAAGAGAGUCAAACAGCACGUGAAAUUGUUGAAAGGGAAGCGCUUGCGGCCAGACCCGCCCGUGGUUGCUCGACCGGCCUUCGGCCGGCUCACUCUCCCACGGUAGGGCCAGCAUCGGUUGGGGCGGCCGGAUAAAGGCCCGGGGAACGUGGCCCUUCGGGGCGUUAUAGCCCCGGGUGCAAUGCGGCCAGCCCCGACCGAGGGAAGCGUUCGCUAGGAUGCUGGCGUAAUGGCCUCAAGCGGCCCGUCUUGAAACACGGACCAAGGAGUCUACCUCUUCCGCGAGCGUUUGGGUGUCAAACCCGCACGCGAAAUGAAAGUGAACGGAGGUGGGAGCUUCGGCGCACCAUCGACCGAUCCCGAUGUUUUCGGAAGGAUUUGAGUAAGAGUGGAACGGGUGGGACCCGAAAGACGGUGAACUAUGCGUGAAUAGGGUGAAGCCAGAGGAAACUCUGGUGGAGGCUCGCAGCGGUUCUGACGUGCAAAUCGACUCGUCAAAUUUGCGUAUGGGGCGAAAUGACAUACGACGCGCACAUUUAA